RNAcentral lists this transfer RNA (66 nucleotides) under Acropteris iphiata. RNAcentral describes it as "tRNA-Thr". It matches the Rfam family "tRNA". Rfam says of the family: Transfer RNA (tRNA) molecules are approximately 80 nucleotides in length. Their secondary structure includes four short double-helical elements and three loops (D, anti-codon, and T loops). Further hydrogen bonds mediate the characteristic L-shaped molecular structure. tRNAs have two regions of fundamental functional importance: the anti-codon, which is responsible for specific mRNA codon recognition, and the 3' end, to which the tRNAs corresponding amino acid is attached (by aminoacyl-tRNA synthetases). tRNAs cope with the degeneracy of the genetic code in two manners: having more than one tRNA (with a specific anti-codon) for a particular amino acid; and 'wobble' base-pairing, i.e. permitting non-standard base-pairing at the 3rd anti-codon position. Lineage: Eukaryota; Metazoa; Arthropoda; Insecta; Lepidoptera; Uraniidae. The record is from RNAcentral.
GUUUUUAUAGUUUAAUAAAAACAUUGGUUUUGUAAACCAAAAUUAAGUAUACUCACUUUAAAAACA